GGCUCUAUCCUGGGUAUUAACAUUACUGGUGGCCAGGACUGAUUCUUUUCAGCUGGCUGCCUAGGCCAAUGUUCCCUUCCUCCCUCCUCACUCCAUGUGUGUCCUCCCAAAGCUGUACACUUGUCAAAAGAGAAUGACCUUCCUUGAUAUGGGAGCAUUUUUCUUUGCUCUAGAGUAUGCAAGUAGCUCUGUUCCCCUCCUGGGACCUCAAGACAAGCUCUCAUGGCCCAUUUGUAGGAAAAUGCAAGGGGGUCAAGGUUCUUGAACACCAGAAAUGUCCAACUGAGGUGCUGCUUGUGCAAUCUGCAUUUCCUA
Unclassified non-coding RNA from Mustela putorius furo (domestic ferret), 315 nucleotides. Its record names the gene 7SK. It matches the Rfam family "7SK RNA". Rfam says of the family: 7SK was discovered as an abundant small nuclear RNA in the mid-70s but a possible function has only recently been suggested. Two independent studies have found that 7SK RNA binds the CDK9/cyclin T complex (known as elongation factor P-TEFb). Lineage: Eukaryota; Metazoa; Chordata; Mammalia; Carnivora; Mustelidae. The record is from Ensembl.